RNAcentral lists this ribosomal RNA (216 nucleotides) under uncultured bacterium. RNAcentral's name for it is "partial 16S ribosomal RNA". It matches the Rfam family "Bacterial small subunit ribosomal RNA", at positions 118 to 351 of the family's 1533-position model. The record is from RNAcentral.
UGGGUGACCUGCCCUCAGCUCUGGGAUAAGCCUGGGAAACUUGGGGUAAUACCGGAUAAGCCCUUCGGGGAAAGAUUUAUCGCCAUUGGAUGGGCCCGCGUCGGAUUAGCUAGUUGGUGAGGUAACGGCUCACCAAGGCAACGAUCCGUAGCUGGUCUGAGAGGACGAUCAGCCACACUGGGACUGAGACACGGCCCAGACUCCUACGGGAGGCAG